GCGGGUGUAGCUCAGUUGGUAGAGCGUAUGCUUGCCAAGCAUAAGGUCGGGGGUUCGAAACCCCUCACCCGCUCCA
RNAcentral lists this transfer RNA (76 nucleotides) under bacterium. RNAcentral's name for it is "tRNA-Gly". It matches the Rfam family "tRNA". From Rfam's summary of the family: Transfer RNA (tRNA) molecules are approximately 80 nucleotides in length. Their secondary structure includes four short double-helical elements and three loops (D, anti-codon, and T loops). The record is from RNAcentral.